UCCGUAGGUGAACCUGCGGAGGGAUCAUUACAAGUGACCCCGGUCUAACCACCGGGAUGUUCAUAACCCUUUGUUGUCCGACUCUGUUGCCUCCGGGGCGACCCUGCCUUCGGGCGGGGGCUCCGGGUGGACACUUCAAACUCUUGCGUAACUUUGCAGUCUGAGUAAACUUAAUUAAUAAAUUAAAACUUUUAACAACGGAUCUCUUGGUUCUGGCAUCGAUGAAGAACGCAGCGAAAUGCGAUAAGUAAUGUGAAUUGCAGAAUUCAGUGAAUCAUCGAAUCUUUGAACGCACAUUGCGCCCCCUGGUAUUCCGGGGGGCAUGCCUGUUCGAGCGUCAUUUCACCACUCAAGCCUCGCUUGGUAUUGGGCAUCGCGGUCCGCCGCGUGCCUCAAAUCGACCGGCUGGGUCUUCUGUCCCCUAAGCGUUGUGGAAACUAUUCGCUAAAGGGUGUUCGGGAGGCUACGCCGUAAAACAACCCCAUUUCUAAGGUUGACCUCGGAUCAGGUAGGGAUACCCGCUGAACUUAAGCAUAUCAAUAAGCGGAGGA
This 551-nucleotide ribosomal RNA is filed under the name Cladosporium cladosporioides. RNAcentral describes it as "eukaryotic LSU rRNA". The stretch from base 187 to 340 matches the Rfam family "5.8S ribosomal RNA". Lineage: Eukaryota; Fungi; Ascomycota; Dothideomycetes; Cladosporiales; Cladosporiaceae. RNAcentral also lists the same sequence under 2 other names. The record is from RNAcentral.